Molecule: ribosomal RNA, 253 nt
Filed under: uncultured bacterium
Lineage: Bacteria
Description: partial 16S ribosomal RNA
Rfam family: Bacterial small subunit ribosomal RNA
Source: RNAcentral
UACGUAGGGGGCAAGCGUUGUCCGGAUUUAUUGGGCGUAAAGAGCGUGUAGGCGGCCAGGUAGGUCCGCUGUGAAAACUUGAGGCUCAACCUCGAGAUGUCGGCGGAAACCCCCUGGCUAGAGUCCGGAAGAGGAGAGUGGAAUUCCCGGUGUAGCGGUGAAAUGCGCAGAUAUCAGGAGGAACACCGGUGGCGAAGGCGGGUCUCUGGGCCGAUACUGACGCUGAGGAGCGAAAGCGUGGGGAGCGAACAGG